RNAcentral lists this ribosomal RNA (468 nucleotides) under uncultured bacterium. Its description in RNAcentral is "partial 16S ribosomal RNA". It matches the Rfam family "Bacterial small subunit ribosomal RNA", at positions 28 to 507 of the family's 1533-position model. The record is from RNAcentral.
GACGAACGCUGGCGGCGUGCUUAACACAUGCAAGUCGAACGGAAAGGCCCUGCUUUUGUGGGGUGCUCGAGUGGCGAACGGGUGAGUAACACGUGAGUAACCUGCCCUUGACUUUGGGAUAACUUCAGGAAACUGGGGCUAAUACCGGAUAGGAGCUCCUGCUGCAUGGUGGGGGUUGGAAAGUUUCGGCGGUUGGGGUUGGACUCGCGGCUUAUCAGCUUGUUGGUGGGGUAGUGGCUUACCAAGGCUUUGACGGGUAGCCGGCCUGAGAGGGUGACCGGCCACAUUGGGACUGAGAUACGGCCCAGACCCCUACGGGAGGCAGCAGUGGGGAAUAUUGCACAAUGGGCGGAAGCCUGAUGAAGCAACGCCGCGUGCGGGAUGACGGCCUUCGGGUUGUAAACCGCUUUCGCCUGUGACGAAGCGUGAGUGACGGUAAUGGGUAAAGAAGCACCGGCUAACUACGUG